AACGCACCUUGCGCUCCUCGGCAUUCCGAGGAGCAUGCCUGUUUGAGUGUCGUGUGAUUCUCGAUUCCCUUGACUUUGUUUGUCAUGGGAUCGGACUUGGGAGCUUGUCGUGCCUCUCUCUCUCUGUUCUCUUCUCCCUUUCUCUCUUGGGGGGAGGGGGGUUGUAUGGAAAGGGAAGGGGUGGGUUGGACUCUCCUCGAAUGCAUUAAGCUCGGGUCACGUAGUUUGGCCCCGACGGUUUACGGUGUGAUAGUUUCACUUCAUCGCCGUUUCGACCGUCGGUGCCUGUGCUAUUUAUUUUUUUUGGCCGGGUUUCGAUGUGUGUGUGUGUGCGUGUGUCUGACGCUUGACCUCAAAUCAGGUAGGAUCACCCGCUGAACUUAA
Molecule: unclassified non-coding RNA, 384 nt
Filed under: uncultured fungus
Lineage: Eukaryota; Fungi
Description: partial contains 5.8S ribosomal RNA, internal transcribed spacer 2, and large subunit ribosomal RNA
Rfam family: 5.8S ribosomal RNA (bases 1-52)
Source: RNAcentral